AUACGGAGGGUGCAAGCGUUGUCCGGAUUUAUGGGGUUUAAAGGGUGCGUAGGCGGCUUGACAAGUCAGUGGUGAAAUCCUCCCGCUCAACGGGAGAACUGCCAUUGAAACUGUAAGGCUUGAGGACAGUCGAGGUAGGCGGAAUUUAUGGUGUAGCGGUGAAAUGCAUAGAUACCAUAAAGAACACCGAUAGCGAAGGCAGCUUACUAGACUGUAUCUGACGCUGAGGCACGAAAGCGUGGGGAGCGAACAGGAUUAGAUACCCCGGUAGUCC
This 274-nucleotide ribosomal RNA is filed under the name uncultured bacterium. RNAcentral describes it as "partial 16S ribosomal RNA". It matches the Rfam family "Bacterial small subunit ribosomal RNA", at positions 523 to 796 of the family's 1533-position model. The record is from RNAcentral.